This is a non-coding RNA of Pelobates cultripes (western spadefoot toad), 455 nucleotides long. The record is from the annotation of a GenBank genome assembly. NCBI's taxonomy places the organism in Eukaryota, Metazoa, Chordata, Amphibia, Anura, Pelobatidae.
AAGGAAAGGGUCAGUUGAAUAUUCUCAAAUUGGCUAAAUUGAUUAAGGAUUUGCCUAAAUAUGAUGAAAAGAGAGGACCUUUUUACAAUAUGAGUGUGUUUGAAGGUGAAAUGAAUAAAAGACAAUUUGAUGAUGUGGUAGCCACAAGAGGUCUUUUGAUCUGGCUGCCAACUUCAUUAAGUGAAUGGGUUAAAGUUAAACUCAUUGAUGUGUUGGAAGAGAAGUCAAGUGAAAAGCCCAGAGUUGAGUUGGAGGAAUUGUUUCCAAAUAAUACACAGAGAUUGCUAAUGGUGGUACAGUGUGCAACUGGUGUGGAGAAUUUUCAAUUUUCUACUCUUGAUUCAUUCAAAAUGGAGAAAAAUGAUGAUAUACGUGUUUGUGCUAAUUUGUGGAAUAAGGCAUGGAAUUUGAUUACUGAUACAGAACCAUCUGCUAUGUCUAAAGAACAACAUAAG